GACGAACGCUGGCGGCGUGCUUAACACAUGCAAGUCGAACGAAGAGCGACGGAAGCUUGCUUCUAUCAAUCUUAGUGGCGAACGGGUGAGUAACGCGUAAUCAACCUGCCCUUCAGAGGGGGACAACAGUUGGAAACGACUGCUAAUACCGCAUACGAUCUAACCUCGGCAUCGAGGAUAGAUGAAAGGUGGCCUCUACAUGUAAGCUAUCACUGAAGGAGGGGAUUGCGUCUGAUUAGCUAGUUGGAGGGGUAACGGCCCACCAAGGCGAUGAUCAGUAGCCGGUCUGAGAGGAUGAACGGCCACAUUGGGACUGAGACACGGCCCAGAAUCCUACGGGAGGCAGCAGUGGGGAAUCUUCCGCAAUGGACGAAAGUCUGACGGAGCAACGCCGCGUGAGUGAUGACGGCCUUCGGGUUGUAAAGCUCUGUUAAUCGGGACGAAAGGCCUUCUUGCGAAUAGUGAGAAGGAUUGACGGUACCGGAAUAGAAAGCCACGGCUAACUACGUG
This 510-nucleotide ribosomal RNA is filed under the name uncultured bacterium. Its description in RNAcentral is "partial 16S ribosomal RNA". It matches the Rfam family "Bacterial small subunit ribosomal RNA", at positions 28 to 507 of the family's 1533-position model. The record is from RNAcentral.